GACAGUCAAGCGCAGGAAGUAGUAGAGGCCGCCGCAAGGUGGCAGCCCGAAAGGGUGGGAUCCUCGAACCUGGGGGCUGUCACCAA
Molecule: non-coding RNA, 86 nt
Filed under: unclassified sequences
Description: DUF3800-VII RNA
Rfam family: DUF3800-VII RNA
Source: Rfam by way of RNAcentral